Molecule: ribosomal RNA, 502 nt
Filed under: uncultured bacterium
Lineage: Bacteria
Description: SSU rRNA
Rfam family: Bacterial small subunit ribosomal RNA
Source: RNAcentral
AGGACGAACGCUGGCGGCGUGCUUAACACAUGCAAGUCGAACGGUGAACCGGGCUUCGGCCCGGGGAUCAGUGGCGAACGGGUGCGUAACACGUGGGCAACCUGCCCCAGACACUGGGAUAACUCCGGGAAACCGGGGCUAAUACCGGAUACUCCGGUCGAACCUCAUGGUUCGAUCGGGAAAGCUCCGACGGUCUGGGAUGGGCCCGCGGCCUAUCAGCUUGUUGGCGAGGUAACGGCUCACCAAGGCGACGACGGGUAGCUGGUCUGAGAGGACGACCAGCCACACUGGAACUGAGAGACGGUCCAGACACCUACGGGUGGCAGCAGUCGAGAAUUUUUCACAAUGGGCGCAAGCCUGAUGGAGCGACGCCGCGUGGGGGAUGAAGGGUUUCGAUCCGUAAACCCUGUCAUUUGCGAACAUGGUUAUUCAAUAACACUGGAUAGCUUGAUAGUAGCGAAAGAGGAAGGGACGGCUAACUCUGUGCCAGCAGCCGCGGUAA